UACGGAGGAUGCGAGCGUUAUCCGGAUUUAUUGGGUUUAAAGGGUGCGUAGGUUGUUUUUUAAGUCAGCGGUGAAAGUUUGUGGCUCAACCAUAAAAUUGCCGUUGAAACUGGCAGACUUGAGUGUGGUAGAGGCAAGUGGAAUUUCUAGUGUAGCGGUUAAAUGCGUAGAUAUUAGAAGGAACACCAGUGGCGAAGGCGGCUUGCUGGGCCAUUACUGACGCUGAGACACGAAAGCGUGGGGAGCAAAUAGG
Molecule: ribosomal RNA, 253 nt
Filed under: uncultured bacterium
Lineage: Bacteria
Description: partial 16S ribosomal RNA
Rfam family: Bacterial small subunit ribosomal RNA
Source: RNAcentral